Oncorhynchus tshawytscha (Chinook salmon) is the source of this 1526-nucleotide long non-coding RNA. The record is from Ensembl. NCBI's taxonomy places the organism in Eukaryota, Metazoa, Chordata, Actinopteri, Salmoniformes, Salmonidae.
CUCUCAUUGGCUAGAAAUGACUAGUUACAGGUGAAACGAAACUUAACUCCGACUAUAAGUUGCAGCACAUAGCUUCAGCUCUCACAGUCACAACAGGGGACAAUUAACAGACACGUGCAACUACACUAAAAAGAUGGAACGAGGAAGAGGAAGGACUCUGAGUAUUCUGUUCCUGUUGACACUCUGUCUACAAGCCUUCACUGGUCAAUGCCAAGCCAAUCAGACUGAAGUAUUUUCUUACCCUCUGUCACGCCCUGGUCUAAGUAUUUUGUGUUUUUCUUCAUGUAUUGGGUCAGGCCAGGGUGUGGCAUGGGGUUUUUGUAUUGUGGUGUGUUUUGUCUUGGGGUUUUGGUGUGUAUGUAUUGGGAUUGUAGCUAGUGGGGUUAUCUAGCAAAAUCUAUGGCUGUCUGGAGUGGUUCUCAAUCAGAGGCAGGUGUUUAUCGUUGUCUCUGAUUGGGAACCAUAUUUAGGCAGCCAUAUUCUUUGAGUUUGUCGUGGCUGAUUGUCCUAUGUGUCGUUGUUCCUCGCUCUGUGUUAGUUUACACAAGUAUAGGCUGUUUCGGUUUUCUUUACGUUCUUUGUUUUGUAGUGUUUUGUGUUUAUUCGUGUUUCACGUUGUUCAUUUGACAUGGAUCGCAAUCUACAAGCUGCAUUUUGCUCCGACUAUCCUUCACACCUAGAAAACCGUAACAGAAUCACCCACCACCAACGGACCAAGCAGCGUGUCAACAGGCAGGAGCAGCCCAAAGAGGAGAUGCGCAAUAAGGAUUUCUGGACAUGGGAGGAAAUCCUAAACGGAGAAGGACCCUGGGCUCAGCCUGGAGAAUAUCGCCGCCCCAAAGAAGAACUGGAGGCGGUGAAAGCGGAGAGGCGCCGGUAUGAGGAGGCAGCACGGCGACUCGGAUGGAAGGCUGAGAGUCAGCCCCAAAAAUUUCUUGGGGGGGCUCAGGGAGAGUGUGGCAGAAUCAGGAGUCAGACCUGAGCCAACUCUCCCUGUUUAUCGUGAGGAGCCAAGGAGGAGACCAGAGCCGGUGUUGGAGGUGAGCGAAGCAGAGACUGUGAAGGAGUUAAUGGGGAAAUUGGAGGAGAGAGAAAUGAGGGAGUUGCUGUGUUGGUGCUUUUUGCAUGGAAUUCGCCCGACGGAACGUGUCGGGGAUUUGAUGGCACCUGGGUUAGCGCUCCAUACUCGUCCUGAGGUGCGUGUUAGUCGGCUGGUGAAGUUGGUGCCAGCCUCACGCACCAGGCCUCCUGUGCACAUCCCUAGCCUUGCACGUCCUGUGCCAGCACUGCUCUCAAGAUCUCCAGUAUGCCUUCACGGUCUAGACCAUCCUGUGCCACCUCCACACUCCAGCCCUCCGGUAGCAGCUCCCCGCACCAGGCUUCCUGUGCGUGUUCUCGAUUCAGUGCCACCAGUACCAGCACCACGCAUCAAGCCUACAGUGCGCCUCGCCUCUCCAGCGCUGCCAGAGCCUUUCUCCUCUCCUGCGCUGCUGGAGUCUCCCGCCUGUUCAGCGCUGCCGGAGCCU